Non-coding RNA from Potamilus streckersoni, 69 nucleotides. The record is from the annotation of a GenBank genome assembly. Lineage: Eukaryota; Metazoa; Mollusca; Bivalvia; Unionida; Unionidae.
UCUACAGUGGCAUAGUGGUUAGAGCGUCCGCCUCGGAUGCGGGAGGUUGUAGUUCGAUCCCCGGUCGAG